RNAcentral lists this long non-coding RNA (2549 nucleotides) under Mus caroli (Ryukyu mouse). RNAcentral describes it as "predicted gene 10516 (MGP_CAROLIEiJ_G0002482.1)". The record is from RNAcentral. Lineage: Eukaryota; Metazoa; Chordata; Mammalia; Rodentia; Muridae.
CCACACCGCCUCGGCAGAAAGAAAAACCAGGAUCCCGUGUGCGCCAGGGUCGCAGGGCUUGCCCUUGGCUCGGGCUGAUGACAGCAGGCGGUUGCCAAGCGUGGCCCUGCGGAGCCUGGCUAAGCCCCGGGUUCCCAGGGCGGGUCGGUGUGGCAUCUGACCUGGGGGCAGAACAUUUUGAUGGGAGUGACAGAGGAAGCUGCUCCCUUAUCAUGGCUAUGAAACAAAAGAGAGCAAGAAAGAGACAGGAUUACCAGUAUCUCCUUCAGUUCAGUCCUGUGGCAAACACCAAAUACGAUUCAGCAGCUCCAGACCAGUCCUCUAGGCAGGCAGACACCAGGGACAAACCAGCAGCUGCAGCCCAGUCCUUUCAGCAAGCAGACACCAGGCAUGAACCAGCAGAUGUAGUUCAAUCCUGAAGAAACCACUAGACUCAUCAAAUGUCCCAAAGCAAGGCCCCAGAAGUCACAUGCUGCUGCAGGAACCACACAAGAAGUUUUUGGGUGGAAAUGGAGAUUAGCCACUGAAAGGAUAAACCCGCAAAAGGACUCUAUCUGUCAUGUUCGUGUGCACUUGGCUCCAGUGCAGGCCCAUUGAAGAAUUGGGCUAUGCACACAGAGCCCUGCACUGGCCUCUGCAUCCCUCCAACCCUCCCAACCGCGAUUUUACUUUUCUUUUAUGUGUGUGUGUGUGUGUGUGUGUGUGUGUGUGUGUGAGAGAGAGAGAGAGAGAGAGAGAGAGAGAGAGAGAGAGAGAGAGAGAGCAUGUGUGUGUGCCCACAGAGGCCAGAAGAGGAGCAUGGGUGCUUUGAACAGUACCCUAGUCCUUCAUAAGAACUUAACUGUUAACUUAAAUUUUAACUGUUGAGCAGUCUCCCGAGAUCUGCUCACAGUAUUUUAAGGUGAGCACUUAAAACACUUUCACUUUCUUUCCUUCACCAAGGAAUGUUUCAGAUCUUUCUCUUGGCUCCAACUUCAGUGCUCACCCGACCUUAAUCUUUAUGGGUGAUUUUCUUACCUCAUUCCACUCUUCCCCCUUACCUCCCACUACACACCUAAACACUCUGCCACCAGAACGACUUCUCUUCCCACUCAGAGAUCAUCUGUGAGGUAAAGUGUCCACUCUCUCUGCCAGGACAUACUUUCCCAUGGUUCAUUUCUGUGACCCUGGCCUCUGUACUGUUGUCACUGGGUACAGUGCCCUUCAGGAAGACAUGAAGCUGACUGUCUCUUCAGGAUGUGUAGGUAGAUUGGAGAUAUAUAAGUCUCUCCCAGCAGGCUGCCGCAGUUUAAUGUGUGGUACAGAAAAGGCCAAGCCCUCUGGGCUGAGUGGGGCUUAGAGCUCUCUUGUGGCCUUUUUCUUUGCCAGAGGCAUUUUUUGCAGUCCUAAGAGCUCACCUCUCUGCAGGUCAGCAUGGUACCAACAUUGACUGUGAGAUCACCCCCAGAGGGCAUGUGUAAGAGGUAAAACUGACUGUUCUCAAAGGUGCUUUGAGCCAACUUAGUUCUAGCUUCAAAAAAUAGGAAACACCAAGCCUCUGCCACUGUCUUCUCUAGUUAUUCCCCACCCAAACUAGAAGUCGAGAGCAGAAACUUACAGCCAAGAUUUCUUGCAUGUGAUGAGGAUGUAAAAAUGAAAGCAUACCGUUCUUCUUGGGAAAAAGACAAACAGAAGGGUCAGAGGGAGAGGUAAGAUCGAGAUGGUGUGUAAGAUGUCUGUCCUGACUACUAGGAGAGGGAGAAAGGGCCCACAUUGGAGUUAUAAAUUCUGUGCUUGGCACACUUGACAUUCCAGGCUGAUGCCCAACUUGGCAAAGGCAUCCACCGCUCUGUCCCUGGGGCUCUUAUUAUGAAGUGAGGAUCACCAUUUCUCACACUUGUAUGGUAGGAGUGGAUUCAACCCAGCUCUGUUCUGCUGGGCUUCAGAGGAUCUUCAUCCAGUGACACUGAUUCCUGUCACCAAAAAGAGGCAGCCAACUCCGUCUGAUGUGCUCAGUGGAGCAUUCUGUGGGCUUCCCUCACGUCCCCGUCACACUUUCUCCAUUUCUAUAACUGUUGAAUGUACCUAAAUAGUGAACUUUCUAACUCUAAUUCUUGACCCAGAUCACUUCUCCUUUGUUCCUUUCCCGACUGAGUCUCACUGGGCACAUUAACCACAGAGGCUAAGCCUCAUGCCCAGUAGCAGAUGGUCAAAAAAACCGAACUUGAUGAUAAUAUUUUUGGAGAUAUUUUUAUCUCAAAUUGCUUUGUUCAGCCACCUUUUGUCUUAUUAGUCCUUUGCUUGUGUAUAUUUUGGCUUCUGUGUGUGUGUGUUUCUGUUUUUUGUUUUGUUGUUUUGUUUUUUUAAGGGGGGGGGUAGGUAAAGAGGUGGGGAUGACCUGGGAGGAUUUCGGGGAGGGGAGAAUAUCAUCAGACUAUAUUCUAAGAAACACACAGGUAGAUGGAAUGAGAGGGUGGAUCUGAAAAGAGUUGAGGGAAGUGACUGAGAAUGACCAAAACACUAUACAAAAUUUCCAAGAAUUAUAAAUAAAGAAUUUAUAAAAAGAAACU